Molecule: ribosomal RNA, 465 nt
Filed under: Vreelandella stevensii
Lineage: Bacteria; Pseudomonadati; Pseudomonadota; Gammaproteobacteria; Oceanospirillales; Halomonadaceae
Description: partial 16S ribosomal RNA
Rfam family: Bacterial small subunit ribosomal RNA
Source: RNAcentral
CCUACGGGGUGCUGCAGUGGGGAAUAUUGGACAAUGGGCGAAAGCCUGAUCCAGCCAUGCCGCGUGUGUGAAGAAGGCCUUCGGGUUGUAAAGCACUUUCAGUGGGGAAGAAAGCCUUGGGGCUAAUACCCUCGAGGAAGGACAUCACCCACAGAAGAAGCACCGGCUAACUCCGUGUCAGCAGCCGCGGUAAUACGGAGGGUGCGAGCGUUAAUCGGAAUUACUGGGCGUAAAGCGCGCGUAGGCGGUCUGAUAAGCCGGUUGUGAAAGCCCCGGGCUCAACCUGGGAACGGCAUCCGGAACUGUCAGGCUAGAGUGCAGGAGAGGAAGGUAGAAUUCCCGGUGUAGCGGUGAAAUGCGUAGAGAUCGGGAGGAAUACCAGUGGCGAAGGCGGCCUUCUGGACUGACACUGACGCUGAGGUGCGAAAGCGUGGGUAGCAAACAGGAUUAGAUACCCGUGUAGUC